UGCAUUUAUUCUUACACAAUACGAGUAAUAUUAUGGUUUUCAUCACAAAACACCACACAUUUUGCGUCAUUAUUCACUAUUUAU
RNAcentral lists this small RNA (84 nucleotides) under Listeria monocytogenes FSL J2-071. RNAcentral describes it as "Listeria sRNA rli34". It matches the Rfam family "Listeria sRNA rli34". The record is from Rfam by way of RNAcentral. Lineage: Bacteria; Bacillati; Bacillota; Bacilli; Caryophanales; Listeriaceae.